CAAUAGCGUAUAUUAAAGUUGUUGCGGUUAAAAAGCUCGUAGUUGGAUUUCUGCUACCAGCGACCGGUCCGCCACACGGUGUGUAUCUGGUACGCUGUUGGCAUCCUCCUGAAGGACGCUUGCACUUGGUUGUGCGAUGCGGUAUUUCGGACUUUUACUUUGAGGAAAUUAGAGUGUUCCACGCGGGUGUUUGCCUUGAAUAUGUUAGCAUGGAAUAAUAGGAUAGGACUCCGGUUCUAUUUUGUUGGUUUAUAGGACUGGAGUAAUGAUUAAUAGGGGCAGUCGGGGGCAUUCGUAUUUAACUGUCAGAGGUGAAAUUCUUGGAUUUGUUAAAGACAAACUACUGCGAAAGCAUUUGCCAGGGAUGUUUUCGUUGAUCAAGAACGAAAGUUAAGGGAUCGAAGACGAUUAGAUACCGU
RNAcentral lists this ribosomal RNA (419 nucleotides) under uncultured eukaryote. RNAcentral's name for it is "bacterial SSU rRNA". It matches the Rfam family "Eukaryotic small subunit ribosomal RNA", at positions 592 to 1018 of the family's 1831-position model. The record is from RNAcentral.